UUGGAGAAGGCUAGGCCAGCUUGGCGUUGGUUGUCCAAGUUUAAGGUGGUAGGCUGAAAUCUUAGGUAAAUCCGGGGUUUCAAGGCCGAGAGCUGAUGACGAGUCGUCUUUUAGAUGACGAAGUGGUUGAUGCCAUGCUUCCAAGAAAAGCUUCUAAGCUUCAGGUAACCAGGAACCGUACCCCAAACCGACACAGGUGGUCGGGUAGAGAAUACCAAGGCGCUUGAGAGAACUCGGGUGAAGGAACUAGGCAAAAUGGCACCGUAACUUCGGGAGAAGGUGCGCCGGCUAGGGUGAAGGAUUUACUCCGUAAGCUCUGGCUGGUCGAAGAUACCAGGCCGCUGCGACUGUUUAUUAAAAACACAGCACUCUGCAAACACGAAAGUGGACGUAUAGGGUGUGACGCCUGCCCGGUGCCGGAAGGUUAAUUGAUGGGGUUAGCGCAAGCGAAGCUCUUGAUCGAAGCCCCGGUAAACGGCGGCCGUAACUAUAACGGUCCUAAGGUAGCGAAAUUCCUUGUCGGGUAAGUUCCGACCUGCACGAAUGGCGUAACGAUGGCGGCGCUGUCUCCACCCGAGACUCAGUGAAAUUGAAAUCGCUGUGAAGAUGCAGUGUAUCCGCGGCUAGACGGAAAGACCCCGUGAACCUUUACUGUAGCUUUGCACUGGACUUUGAGCCUGCUUGUGUAGGAUAGGUGGGAGGCUUUGAAGCGUGGACGCCAGUUCGCGUGGAGCCAUCCUUGAAAUACCACCCUGGCAUGCUUGAGGUUCUAACUCUGGUCCGUAAUCCGGAUCGAGGACAGUGUAUGGUGGGCAGUUUGACUGGGGCGGUCUCCUCCUAAAGAGUAACGGAGGAGUACGAAGGUGCGCUCAGACCGGUCGGAAAUCGGUCGCAGAGUAUAAAGGCAAAAGCGCGCUUGACUGCGAGACAGACACGUCGAGCAGGUACGAAAGUAGGUCUUAGUGAUCCGGUGGUUCUGUAUGGAAGGGCCAUCGCUCAACGGAUAAAAGGUACUCCGGGGAUAACAGGCUGAUACCGCCCAAGAGUUCAUAUCGACGGCGGUGUUUGGCACCUCGAUGUCGGCUCAUCACAUCCUGGGGCUGAAGCCGGUCCCAAGGGUAUGGCUGUUCGCCAUUUAAAGUGGUACGCGAGCUGGGUUUAGAACGUCGUGAGACAGUUCGGUCCCUAUCUGCCGUGGACGUUUGAGAUUUGAGAGGGGCUGCUCCUAGUACGAGAGGACCGGAGUGGACGAACCUCUGGUGUUCCGGUUGUCACGCCAGUGGCAUUGCCGGGUAGCUAUGUUCGGAAAAGAUAACCGCUGAAAGCAUCUAAGCGGGAAACUUGCCUCAAGAUGAGAUCUCACUGGGAACUUGAUUCCCCUGAAGGGCCGUCGAAGACUACGACGUUGAUAGGCUGGGUGUGUAAGCGUUGUGAGGCGUUGAGCUAACCAGUACUA
This 1456-nucleotide ribosomal RNA is filed under the name metagenome. Its description in RNAcentral is "bacterial LSU rRNA". It matches the Rfam family "Bacterial large subunit ribosomal RNA", at positions 1472 to 2903 of the family's 2925-position model. The record is from RNAcentral.